CCUACGGGAGGCAGCAGUGGGGGAUAUUGCACAAUGGGGGAAACCCUGAUGCAGCGACGCCGCGUGGGUGAAGAAGCGCCUCGGCGCGUAAAGCCCUGUCAGCAGGGAAGAAAAUGACGGUACCUGAAGAAGAAGCACCGGCUAACUACGUGCCAGCAGCCGCGGUAAUACGUCGGGGGCAAGCGUUAUCCGGAUUUACUGGGUGUAAAGGGGGCGCAGACGGGGAUGCAAGCCAGGAGUGAAAGCCCGGGGCCCAACCCCGGGACUGCUCUUGGAACUGCGUGGCUAGAGUGCAGGAGGGGCAGGCGGAAUUCCGGGUGUAGCGGUGAAAUGCGUAGAUAUCAGGAGGAACACCGGUGGCGAAGGCGGCCUGCUGGACUGCAACUGACGUUGAGGCCCGAAAGCGUGGGGAGCAAACAGGAUUAGAUACCCGAGUAGUC
This 440-nucleotide ribosomal RNA is filed under the name uncultured bacterium. RNAcentral describes it as "partial 16S ribosomal RNA". It matches the Rfam family "Bacterial small subunit ribosomal RNA", at positions 338 to 795 of the family's 1533-position model. The record is from RNAcentral.